Molecule: long non-coding RNA, 322 nt
Organism: Coregonus clupeaformis (lake whitefish)
Lineage: Eukaryota; Metazoa; Chordata; Actinopteri; Salmoniformes; Salmonidae
Exons: 3
Source: RefSeq, a predicted model, not a curated record
UCAGGAAGUAAAGCUGAGCAUGUGCUUGUAACUUAGAAACAUCUCUAUUUUGAGCUUGAACAUUUUAGUCCCUUUUUUAUGUGCUGAAUGGUCAUCGCUACUUGGGGAAGAUGAGGACGAAGAGGAUGAGAUUGAAAUGGAGGAGCCAGAAGAAGUUGGAGCCACCACAUGAUGCUGCUGCCUCUCAGCCAAGCUUUUUGACUGGAAGGACACUGUGGUGGAUUGUCAACUCUCAGACCUUUGUGAGGAUGAGUGCACUAUAGACAUGUCAACUGUGCACCAGGCAAUCAAUAGCUGCCCCCACGGUGGCAAGGAUAGGCAG